Molecule: unclassified non-coding RNA, 402 nt
Filed under: uncultured fungus
Lineage: Eukaryota; Fungi
Description: partial contains ITS1, 5.8S rRNA and ITS2
Source: RNAcentral
AACGCAUAUUGCAUUUACUGGUAUUCCGGUAAUUAUGCCUGUUCGAGUCUCAGUUUUAAUCUCACAAACACUCUUGCUUGUUGUCAUGACGACAAUGAGUGCUGUGGAGUUGAGCGUUUUUCCCAGCUUUAUUUAAACAUGGCUGGGUCGCUCGAAAUUUAUGGUAUUUGUGGACAAGUCGUUGUUAGACUGUCUCAACAAUAGUACCGCUAAGUUUAAGCUCAUCUUUACUGAUUGGCAACUCUUUAGCUGGGAAAUGUUGAACUAUGACUGACUAACGUUAUAACGAACGUGACCAACAGACCAUAUCCCUUGUUCGAGUGUUUGUCUGUAACGACGCACUUGAAAAACUUCAUUUUGAACCUUGAGCUCGAAUCAAGCAAGACUACCCGCUGAACUUAA